Molecule: ribosomal RNA, 492 nt
Filed under: uncultured bacterium
Lineage: Bacteria
Description: partial 16S ribosomal RNA
Rfam family: Bacterial small subunit ribosomal RNA
Source: RNAcentral
AGUGAACGCUGGCGGUAGGCCUAACACAUGCAAGUCGAACGGCAGCACAGUAAGAGCUUGCUCUUACGGGUGGCGAGUGGCGGACGGGUGAGGAAUACAUCGGACUCUACUUUUUCGUGGGGGAUAACGUAGGGAAACUUACGCUAAUACCGCAUACGACCUACGGGUGAAAGCAGGGGAUCUUCGGACCUUGCGCGAUUGAAUGAGCCGAUGUCGGAUUAGCUAGUUGGCGGGGUAAAGGCCCACCACGGCGACGAUACGUAGCUGGUCUGAGAGGAUGAUCAGCCACACUGGAACUGAGACACGGUCCAGACUCCUACAGGAGGCAGCAGUGGGGAAUAUGGGACAAGGGGCGCAAGCCUGAUGCAGCCAUACCGCGUGGGUGAAGAAGGCAUUCGGGUUGUAAAGCCCUUUUGUUGGGAAAGAAAAGCAGCAGGUUAAUACCACGCUGUUCUGACGGUACCCAAAGAAUAAGCACCGGCUAACUUCGUG